RNAcentral lists this transfer RNA (66 nucleotides) under human gut metagenome. It matches the Rfam family "tRNA", at positions 5 to 66 of the family's 71-position model. Rfam says of the family: Transfer RNA (tRNA) molecules are approximately 80 nucleotides in length. RNAcentral also lists the same sequence under 1 other name. The record is from RNAcentral.
GAAUUAGCUCAGUUGGUUAGAGCGCUGGAUUGUGGCUCCAGAGGUCGCGGGUUCAAAUCCCGUAUU